This 1421-nucleotide ribosomal RNA is filed under the name metagenome. RNAcentral's name for it is "bacterial SSU rRNA". It matches the Rfam family "Bacterial small subunit ribosomal RNA". The record is from RNAcentral.
GUGGCUCAGGAUGAACGCUAGCGGCGCGCUUAAUGCAUGCAAGUCGAGCGAUGAGGACUCUACGGAGUCCACCAGCGGCAGACGGGUGAGUAACACGUGGGUGACCUGCCCCGAAGACGAGGAUAACGGAUGGAAACAUGCGCUAAUACUCGAUGGACUCAAAGUGUCAGAGCUAUGAGUAAAGCUACGGCGCUUCGGGAGGGGCCCGCGGCCUAUCAGCUAGUUGGUGGGGUAACGGCCUACCAAGGCAACGACGGGCAGGGGGUGUGAGAGCACGGCCCCCCACAAUGGGACUGAGAGACGGCCCAUACUCCUACGGGAGGCAGCAGCAGGGAAUAUUGCGCAAUGGACGAAAGUCUGACGCAGCGACGCCGCGUGGAUGAUGAAGGCCCUCGGGUUGUAAAAUCCUUUUCAGGGGGAAGAGGAAGGACGGUACCCUUGGAAUAAGCGUCGGCUAACUACGUGCCAGCAGCCGCGGUAAGACGUAGGACGCGAGCGUUAUCCGGAUUUACUGGGCGUAAAGCGUCUGUAGGCGGACUGGUAAGUUGGGCGUGAAAGCUCCGGGCUCAACCCGGAGAGGACGUUCAAUACUGCCAGACUAGAGGUCAUCAGAGGGGCGUGGAAUUUCCGGUGUAGCGGUAAAAUGCGCAGAUAUCGGAAGGAACACCAGUGGCGAAGGCGGCGCCCUGGGGUGGACCUGACGCUAAGAGACGAAAGCUAGGGGAGCGAACAGGAUUAGAGACCCUGGUAGUCCUAGCCCUAAACGAUGGAUGCUAGGUGUGGGGCCGACAGGUUCCGUGCCGAAGCUAACGCGAUAAGCAUCCCGCCUGGGGAGUACGGCCGCAAGGCUAAAACUCAAACGAAUUGACGGGGCCCCGCACAAGCAGCGGAGCGUGUGGUUUAAUUCGAUUACACGAAGAACCUUACCUGGGUUUGACAUAUGCGUGGUAGGGAAGCGAAAGCGGACCGACCUUUCGGGGAGCGCAUACAGGUGCUGCAUGGCUGUCGUCAGCUCGUGCCGUGAGGUGUCGGGUUAAGUCCCGUAACGAGCGCAACCCCUGCCCUUAGUUAUACGUGUCUAAGGGGACUGCCGGCGGUAAGCCGGAGGAAGGUGGGGAUGACGUCAAGUCAGCAUGGCCCUUAUAUCCAGGGCUACACACACGCUACAAUGGUCAGUACAAAGGGCAGCGAAGCCGCGAGGUGGAGCGAAUCUCAACAAAGCUGAUCGUAGUUCGGAUUGCAGGCUGCAACCCGCCUGCAUGAAGCUGGAGUUGCUAGUAACCGCGCGUCAGCUAUAGUGCGGUGAAUACGUUCCCGGGGCUUGUACACACCGCCCGUCACGUCAUGGGAGUCGGUAACGCCUGAAGCUGGUAGCCUAGCUCGCAAGAGGGGGCGCCAUCGAAGGCGGGGCUGGCGACUGG